GCCCUUAUUGCUAUACACAUAAUCAAUAGACCCCUUCUCCAGUUCUCUCUUACAAAACCCCUUUCGAACUUCUCUACUCAAAGCCGCCUUCUUUUUCUCAUCUGCGUGUCUUUAGUUGUUUAGCCUAUGCAACUAAUGUCCAUACUUCUCACAAAUUUGACCAUCGUUCCAUACCCUCAAUUUUUAUCGGAUAUCCUAUUGGUCAGAAGGCUUACAAAUUAUUUGAUUUGUCAACCAAAAAGGUUUUCACUAGCCGUGAUGUAAAAUUUCACGAAAAUAUCUUUCCUAAUAAAUCUAUCCAGCCCUACUCUGCCAAAAUUGGCCCAAACACUAAUUCUGGCCCAAUUCCUCUUGUGGCCCAUGACAUCCCUUACCAUUUUGACUCCAUUUCAGACACUUCUCAUCCAAACAAAAACCCUCCUCAUCCAAACAUGACUCAUUCUUCUUCGAUUCCGCAAUUCGCUCCUGCCUCUCCUCCUUCGUCGGAUUCACCAUUUUCGGUACCAGAAUCCUCGUCACACCUGCUUUCUCCACCGCUUCUCUCCUCUUCUGCAUCCAAUCCCGACCAUCCACUCGAUCCAGCUCCACUUCGUCGUUCCAGUCACCAUGCCGAUCCGCCAGCCAAGCUUCGCAAUUACGUCUGCUCCACUGUUUCAUCUAACCAAUCGUCCACCUUGCUGCCUGGUCCGACCAAAGGUACGAGAUAUCCACUGGCUAAUUUUGUUUCGUAUCACAGAUAUACACCUGCACAUCGCUCUUUUGUUGCUCAGAUCAGUAAGGUUACGGAACCCAGUUCUUAUUCGAAAGCCACUGUUCAUCCUAAAUGGUAGGAAGCCAUACGUUCCGAAUUACAGGCUCUGUAAGCCAAUGACACUUGGUCUCUCAUUCCACUCCCAGUCGGCAAGACUCCUAUUGGCUGCAGAUGGGUGUUUAAAAUCAAACACCAUUCCGAUGGUUCUAUCGAGAGGUAUAAAGCCCGUUUAGUUGCCAAAGGCUUCACUCAGCUGGAAGGUGUUGAUUAUCAGGACACACUUUUCCCCACUGCCAAAAUAAUCUCAGUUCACUGCUUGCUCGCCUUGGCUGCCUCUUGUAGCUGGUCCAUUCACCAAAUGGACGUCAACAAUGCCUUUUUUCAUGGCAAUUUAGCUGAAGAAAUAUACAUGUCUCCGUCGCCAGGGCUUCGACGACAGGGAGAGGAUAACUUGGUUUGUCGCCUUCAUAAGUCAUUGUACGAAGUGAAACAGGCAUCUCACCAGUGGUUCACCAAGUUCUCAGAGGCUAUUUGCUCCGCUAGUUAUGUACAAUCUCGAGCUUAUUACUCUCUAUUCACCAGAAAACAAGGCAAUUUAUUUACUACUCUCUUGAUAUAUGUUGACAAUAUUUUAAUUACCAGGAAUGAUCCUGUUAGGAUUGCUGCAACUAAAAAAUUUCUGCAUAGUCAUUUUCAUCUAAAAUAUCUUGGUAAUUUGAAGUACUCUCUUGGUAUUGAGGUAUCUAUUUAUUUCCCAACAUAAGUAUGCGUUAGAAAUCAUUAAGGAUGCAAGGCUGUUAGGUGUAGCUCCUAUUGAUACUCCUGUGGAACGAGGCUUGAAAUUAUCAGACAAGAGUGACUUGCUU
This 1617-nucleotide long non-coding RNA is filed under the name Olea europaea subsp. europaea. The record is from RNAcentral. Lineage: Eukaryota; Viridiplantae; Streptophyta; Magnoliopsida; Lamiales; Oleaceae.